UACGUAGGGGGCUAGCGUUGUCCGGAAUUACUGGGCGUAAAGGGAGUGUAGACAGCUUGUCAAGUUAAGUGUGAAAGCCCGCGGCUUAACCGUGGAAUUGCACUUAAAACUGGCUCGCUAGAGUGCAGGAGAGGUGAGCGGAAUUCCUAGUGUAGCGGUGGAAUGCGUAGAUAUUAGGAGGAACACCAGAGGCGAAGGCGGCUCACUGGACUGUAACUGACGUUGAGGCUCGAAAGCGUGGGUAGCAAACAGG
RNAcentral lists this ribosomal RNA (253 nucleotides) under uncultured bacterium. RNAcentral's name for it is "partial 16S ribosomal RNA". It matches the Rfam family "Bacterial small subunit ribosomal RNA", at positions 524 to 776 of the family's 1533-position model. The record is from RNAcentral.